CCUACGGGAGGCAGCAGUGGGGAAUAUUGGACAAUGGGCGAAAGCCUGAUCCAGCCAUGCCGCGUGUGUGAAGAAGGCCUUCGGGUUGUAAAGCACUUUCAGUGGGGAAGAAAGCCUUGGGGCUAAUACCCUCGAGGAAGGACAUCACCCACAGAAGAAGCACCGGCUAACUCCGUGCCAGCAGCCGCGGUAAUACGGAGGGUGCGAGCGUUAAUCGGAAUUACUGGGCGUAAAGCGCGCGUAGGCGGUCUGAUAAGCCGGUUGUGAAAGCCCCGGGCUCAACCUGGGAACGGCAUCCGGAACUGGCAGGCUAGAGUGCAGGAGAGGAAGGUAGAAUUCCCGGUGUAGCGGUGAAAUGCGUAGAGAUCGGGAGGAAUACCAGUGGCGAAGGCGGCCUUCUGGACUGACACUGACGCUGAGGUGCGAAAGCGUGGGUAGCAAACAGGAUUAGAUACCCCAGUAGUC
RNAcentral lists this ribosomal RNA (465 nucleotides) under Vreelandella stevensii. RNAcentral describes it as "partial 16S ribosomal RNA". It matches the Rfam family "Bacterial small subunit ribosomal RNA", at positions 338 to 795 of the family's 1533-position model. The record is from RNAcentral. Lineage: Bacteria; Pseudomonadati; Pseudomonadota; Gammaproteobacteria; Oceanospirillales; Halomonadaceae.